RNAcentral lists this ribosomal RNA (253 nucleotides) under uncultured bacterium. Its description in RNAcentral is "partial 16S ribosomal RNA". It matches the Rfam family "Bacterial small subunit ribosomal RNA", at positions 524 to 776 of the family's 1533-position model. The record is from RNAcentral.
UACAGAGGGGGCAAGCGUUAUUCGGAAUUAUUGGGCGUAAAGGGCGCGUAGGCGGCUUGGCAAGUGGGAGGUGAAAUCCCUCGGCUUAACCGAGGAACUGCCCUCCAAACUGCUUCGCUUGAGACCGGGAGAGGUGAGUGGAAUUCCCAGUGUAGCGGUGAAAUGCGUAGAUAUUGGGAGGAACACCAGUGGCGAAGGCGGCUCACUGGACCGGUACUGACGCUGAUGCGCGAAAGCGUGGGGAGCAAACGGG